GUAACGCGUGGGAACGUGCCCUUUGCUACGGAAUAGCCCUGGGAAACUGGGAGUAAUACCGUAUGUGCCCUUCGGGGGAAAGAUUUAUCGGCAAAGGAUCGGCCCGCGUUGGAUUAGGUAGUUGGUGGGGUAAUGGCCUACCAAGCCGACGAUCCAUAGCUGGUUUGAGAGGAUGAUCAGCCACACUGGGACUGAGACACGGCCCAGACUCCUACGGGAGGCAGCAGUGGGGAAUCUUAGACAAUGGGGGAAACCCUGAUCUAGCCAUGCCGCGUGAGCGAUGAAGGCCUUAGGGUUGUAAAGCUCUUUCAGUGGGGAAGAUAAUGACGGUACCCACAGAAGAAGCCCCGGCUAACUCCGUGCCAGCAGCCGCGGUAAUACGGAGGGGGCUAGCGUUGUUCGGAAUUACUGGGCGUAAAGCGCACGUAGGCGGACGAGAAAGUCAGAGGUGAAAUCCCAGGGCUCAACCCUGGAACUGCCUUUGAAACUCCUUGUCUUGAGGUCGAGAGAGGUGAGUGGAAUUCCGAGUGUAGAGGUGAAAUUCGUAGAUAUUCGGAGGAACACCAGUGGCGAAGGCGGCUCACUGGCUCGAUACUGACGCUGAGGUG
RNAcentral lists this ribosomal RNA (608 nucleotides) under uncultured bacterium. Its description in RNAcentral is "bacterial SSU rRNA". It matches the Rfam family "Bacterial small subunit ribosomal RNA", at positions 110 to 753 of the family's 1533-position model. The record is from RNAcentral.